AGCAAUCUGCGAUAAGUGGUGUGAUAUGCAAGUCCACAGCUUAUACGUGAACCAUCGAAUCUUUGAACGCACUGCACUAUCCGGACGACACCCCCGUGAUAGUAUGCCCCGUUGAGCGUCAUUUAUCCGUUCAGACGCUUGCGCGUUCGUUUCGCGCUUGCGGAUGAGUUCGAGGUUCACGUCCAUCCUUGGAUGCGUCCCUUGAGAUCGAUUAGCGCGCCUGGUCCGCCUCGCGCCCGUCUUGUGAUGAUUUUGCAAGCCGAGGCCGGAGCAUCUGACCUGCGCUGACAGCCGCCGUCAGGCAAACCCGGGCCUCACGGUCCCACUCUCGUAUAUGACCUCAGUGGGGUAGGACAACCCGCUAGACUUAAGCAUAUUAAUCAGCGGAGGAAAAGAAACU
Molecule: ribosomal RNA, 400 nt
Filed under: uncultured fungus
Lineage: Eukaryota; Fungi
Description: eukaryotic LSU rRNA
Rfam family: 5.8S ribosomal RNA (bases 1-121)
Source: RNAcentral